UUACGGGAGGCAGCAGUGGGGAAUAUUGGACAAUGGGCGCAAGCCUGAUCCAGCCAUGCCGCGUGUGUGAAGAAGGCCUUCGGGUUGUAAAGCACUUUUGUUGGGGAAGAAAAGCCGCUGGUUAAUACCCGGUGGUCAUGACGGUACCCAAAGAAUAAGCACCGGCUAACUUCGUGCCAGCAGCCGCGGUAAUACGAAGGGUGCAAGCGUUACUCGGAAUUACUGGGCGUAAAGCGUGCGUAGGUGGUUCGUUAAGUCUGUCGUGAAAGCCCCGGGCUCAACCUGGGAAUGGCGAUGGAUACUGGCGGGCUAGAGUGCGGUAGAGGAGAGUGGAAUUCCCGGUGUAGCAGUGAAAUGCGUAGAGAUCGGGAGGAACAUCAGUUGCGAAGGCGGCUCUCUGGACCAGCACUGACACUGAGGCACGAAAGCGUGGGGAGCAAACAGGAUUAGAUACCCGUGUAC
RNAcentral lists this ribosomal RNA (462 nucleotides) under uncultured bacterium. RNAcentral's name for it is "bacterial SSU rRNA". It matches the Rfam family "Bacterial small subunit ribosomal RNA", at positions 339 to 793 of the family's 1533-position model. The record is from RNAcentral.